AUUGAACGCUGGCGGCAUGCCUUACACAUGCAAGUCGAACGGCAGCACGGGUGCUUGCACCUGGUGGCGAGUGGCGAACGGGUGAGUAAUACAUCGGAACAUGUCCUGUAGUGGGGGAUAGCCCGGCGAAAGCCGGAUUAAUACCGCAUACGAUCUACGGAUGAAAGCGGGGGACCUUCGGGCCUCGCGCUAUAGGGUUGGCCGAUGGCUGAUUAGCUAGUUGGUAGGGUAAAGGCCUACCAAGGCGACGAUCAGCAGCUGGUCUGAGAGGACGACCAGCCACACUGGGACUGAGACACGGCCCAGACUCCUACGGGAGGCAGCAGUGGGGAAUUUUGGACAAUGGGCGAAAGCCUGAUCCAGCAAUGCCGCGUGUGUGAAGAAGGCCUUCGGGUUGUAAAGCACUUUUGUCCGGAAAGAAAUCCUUGGCCCUAAUACGGUCGGGGGAUGACGGUACCGGAAGAAUAAGCACCGGCUAACUACGUG
This 486-nucleotide ribosomal RNA is filed under the name uncultured bacterium. RNAcentral's name for it is "partial 16S ribosomal RNA". It matches the Rfam family "Bacterial small subunit ribosomal RNA", at positions 30 to 507 of the family's 1533-position model. The record is from RNAcentral.